RNAcentral lists this ribosomal RNA (729 nucleotides) under uncultured bacterium. RNAcentral's name for it is "bacterial SSU rRNA". It matches the Rfam family "Bacterial small subunit ribosomal RNA", at positions 47 to 771 of the family's 1533-position model. The record is from RNAcentral.
CUUAACACAUGCAAGUCGAUCGGUAACGCGGGGGCAACCCUGGCGACGAGAGGCGGACGGGUGAGGAACGCUUGGGAAUCUGCCCUUCAGCGGGGGACAACCCGGGGAAACCCGGGCUAAUACCGCAUACGCUCCACGGAGGAAAGCCGGGGACCGCAAGGCCUGGCACUGAAGGAUGAGCCCAAGUCGGAUUAGCUAGUUGGCGGGGUAACGGCCCACCAAGGCGACGAUCCGUAGCUGGUCUGAGAGGACGAUCAGCCACACUGGGACUGAGACACGGCCCAGACUCCUACGGGAGGCAGCAGUGGGGAAUAUUGGACAAUGGGGGAAACCCUGAUCCAGCGACGCCGCGUGGGUGAAGAAGGCCUGCGGGUUGUAAAGCCCUUUCGGUAGGGACGAAAGCUCUCGACCUAACACGUCGGGAGGUUGACUUAACCUACAAAAGAAGCACCGGCUAACUCUGUGCCAGCAGCCGCGGUAAUACAGAGGGUGCGAGCGUUAAUCGGAAUUACUGGGCGUAAAGCGCACGUAGGCGGCUUGGUAUGUCGGGUGUGAAAUCCCCGGGCUCAACCUGGGAACUGCAUCCGAAACUGCCUUGCUCGAGUAUGGGAGAGGGAAGUGGAAUUUCCGGUGUAGCGGUGAAAUGCGUAGAUAUCGGAAGGAACAUCAGUGGCGAAGGCGACUUCCUGGACCAAUACUGACGCUCAGGUGCGAAAGCGUGGGGAGCAA